GCUUACGGCCAUAUCACGUUGAAAGCACCGGUUCUCGUCCGAUCACUGAAGUUAAGCAACAUCGAGCCUAGUUAGUACUUAGAUGGGUGACCGCUUGGGAAACUAGGUGCUGUAAGCA
Molecule: non-coding RNA, 118 nt
Organism: Octopus bimaculoides (California two-spot octopus)
Lineage: Eukaryota; Metazoa; Mollusca; Cephalopoda; Octopoda; Octopodidae
Source: Rfam